RNAcentral lists this ribosomal RNA (228 nucleotides) under Triticum aestivum (bread wheat). RNAcentral's name for it is "partial small subunit ribosomal RNA". The record is from RNAcentral. Lineage: Eukaryota; Viridiplantae; Streptophyta; Magnoliopsida; Poales; Poaceae.
AUGUACAAGUUACUUGAAAGCAACCUUGCAGGGUGUGACUACCGGUGGAUUUGGAAAGACAAAAUUCCCCUUAAGAUCAAAAUCUUUAUGUGGCAGUUAUUUCAGGAUGCGGUCCUGAUGAGAGAUGUUAUGAAAUGUCGAAAAUGGCCUGGUAAUGCUAAGUGUUUGUUUUGUGCUGCCCAUGAGACGGCGCAACAUCUUUUCUUCCUUUGCCCAGUUGCCAGGUGA